AUGGCUCAGGAUGAACGCUAGCGACAGGCCUAACACAUGCAAGUCGAGGGGCAGCGCGGAGUAGCAAUACUUGGCGGCGACCGGCGCACGGGUGAGUAACACGUAUGCAACCAACCCAUAACAGGGGGAUAACCCGGAGAAAUCCGGACUAAUACCGCAUAAGACCACGAUAUCGCAUGAUAGUAGAGGUCAAAUAGUUUAUAGGUUAUGGACGGGCAUGCGUCUGAUUAGCUGGUUGGCGGGGUAACGGCCCACCAAGGCAUCGAUCAGUAGGGGUUCUGAGAGGAAGGUCCCCCACAUUGGAACUGAGACACGGUCCAAACUCCUACGGGAGGCAGCAGUGAGGAAUAUUGGUCAAUGGGCGAAAGCCUGAACCAGCCAUGUCGCGUGAAGGAAUGAAGGUCCUAUGGAUUGUAAACUUCUUUUGCAGGAGGGUAAAGUGAGCUACGUGUAGUUCAUUGCAAGUACCCUGCGAAUAAGCAUCGGCUAACUCCGUGCCAGCAGCCGC
RNAcentral lists this ribosomal RNA (508 nucleotides) under uncultured bacterium. RNAcentral's name for it is "bacterial SSU rRNA". It matches the Rfam family "Bacterial small subunit ribosomal RNA", at positions 19 to 518 of the family's 1533-position model. The record is from RNAcentral.